Molecule: unclassified non-coding RNA, 190 nt
Filed under: uncultured Ascomycota
Lineage: Eukaryota; Fungi; Ascomycota
Description: sequence contains ITS2
Source: RNAcentral
CAACCCCUCAGGCCCUGGUGCCUGGCGUCGGGGCGCUUCCCCCUCCCCGGGAACCCCUCAGAAACAGUGGCGGACCCGCCGCGGCUCCGAGCGCAGUAGUGUAAAAAUUUCUCGCUUGGGAGGUCCGCGGUGGAGCCCGGCCGUUAAACCGGGACCCCUUCUCCCCCCGGGGGAGGUCCCACACACCCAA